AGCAGUCGCCGCGGUAACACGUAGGUGGCAAGCGUUGUCCGGAAUUAUUGGGCGUAAAGCGCGCGCAGGUGGUUUAAUAAGUCUGAUGUGAAAGCCCACGGCUCAACCGUGGAGGGUCAUUGGAAACUGUUAAACUUGAGUGCAGGAGAGAAAAGUGGAAUUCCUAGUGUAGCGGUGAAAUGCGUAGAGAUUAGGAGGAACACCAGUGGCGAAGGCGGCUUUUUGGCCUGUAACUGACACUGAGGCGCGAAAGCGUGGGGAGCAAACAGGAUUAGAUACCCGGGUAGUCCCUGUCUCUUAUAC
RNAcentral lists this ribosomal RNA (303 nucleotides) under uncultured bacterium. RNAcentral's name for it is "partial 16S ribosomal RNA". It matches the Rfam family "Bacterial small subunit ribosomal RNA", at positions 507 to 807 of the family's 1533-position model. The record is from RNAcentral.